CCUACGGGUGGCAGCAGUAGGGAAUAUUGCUCAAUGGGGGAAACCCUGAAGCAGCAACGCCGCGUGGAGGAUGAAGGUUUUCGGAUUGUAAACUCCUUUUGUUAGAGAAGAUAAUGACGGUAUCUAACGAAUAAGCACCGGCUAACUCCGUGCCAGCAGCCGCGGUAAUACGGAGGGUGCAAGCGUUACUCGGAAUCACUGGGCGUAAAGAGCGCGUAGGCGGGAUAGCAAGUCAGAUGUGAAAUCCUAUGGCUUAACCAUAGAACUGCAUUUGAAACUGUUAUUCUAGAGUAUGGGAGAGGUAGGUGGAAUUCUUGGUGUAGGGGUAAAAUCCGUAGAGAUCAAGAGGAAUACUCAUUGCGAAGGCAGCUUACCAAGCUACUUCUGACGUUGAGGCACGAAAGCGUGGGGAGCAAACAGGAUUAGAUACCCCAGUAGUC
This 440-nucleotide ribosomal RNA is filed under the name uncultured bacterium. RNAcentral's name for it is "partial 16S ribosomal RNA". It matches the Rfam family "Bacterial small subunit ribosomal RNA", at positions 338 to 795 of the family's 1533-position model. The record is from RNAcentral.